Molecule: long non-coding RNA, 116 nt
Organism: Amphimedon queenslandica
Lineage: Eukaryota; Metazoa; Porifera; Demospongiae; Haplosclerida; Niphatidae
Exons: 3
Source: RefSeq, a predicted model, not a curated record
CAGUGGCUGGUAACUAGGUAACUGAGGUAACUGUGGUAACCAAGUUAUACAUAGGUAACAGUGGCUGGUAACUAGGUAACUGCGGUAACCAAGUUAUAUAUAGGUAACAGUGGCUG